UUUAUUGGAGAGUUUGAUCCUGGCUCAGGAUGAACGCUGGCGGCGUGCCUAAUACAUGCAAGUCGAGCGAAUGGAUUAAGAGCUUGCUCUUAUGAAGUUAGCGGCGGACGGGUGAGUAACACGUGGGUAACCUGCCCAUAAGACUGGGAUAACUCCGGGAAACCGGGGCUAAUACCGGAUAAUAUUUUGAACUGCAUGGUUCGAAAUUGAAAGGYGGCUUCGGCUGUCACUUAUGGAUGGACCCGCGUCGCAUUAGCUAGUUGGUGAGGUAACGGCUCACCAAGGCAACGAUGCGUAGCCGACCUGAGAGGGUGAUCGGCCACACUGGGACUGAGACACGGCCCAGACUCCUACGGGAGGCAGCAGUAGGGAAUCUUCCGCAAUGGACGAAAGUCUGACGGAGCAACGCCGCGUGAGUGAUGAAGGCUUUCGGGUCGUAAAACUCUGUUGUUAGGGAAGAACAAGUGCUAGUUGAAUAAGCUGGCACCUUGACGGUACCUAACCAGAAAGCCAC
This 514-nucleotide ribosomal RNA is filed under the name Bacillus cereus. RNAcentral describes it as "bacterial SSU rRNA". It matches the Rfam family "Bacterial small subunit ribosomal RNA", at positions 1 to 494 of the family's 1533-position model. The record is from RNAcentral. Lineage: Bacteria; Bacillati; Bacillota; Bacilli; Caryophanales; Bacillaceae.